Molecule: unclassified non-coding RNA, 329 nt
Filed under: soil metagenome
Description: partial contains 5.8S ribosomal RNA, internal transcribed spacer 2, and large subunit ribosomal RNA
Rfam family: 5.8S ribosomal RNA (bases 1-120)
Source: RNAcentral
GAUGAAGAACGUAGCGAAAUGAGAUAAGUAAUGUGAAUUGCAGAAUUCAGUGAAUCAUCGAAUCUUUGAACGCACAUUGCGCCCCCUGGUAUUCCGGGGGGCAUGCCUGUCCGAGCGUCAUUACAACCCUCAAGCUCAGCUUGGUGUUGGGCCCCGCCGCCCCGGCGGGCCCUAAAGUCAGUGGCGGUGCCGUCCGGCUCCGAGCGUAGUAAUUCUUCUCGCUCUGGAGGUCCGGUCGUGUGCUCGCCAGCAACCCCCAAUUUUUUUCAGGUUGACCUCGGAUCAGGUAGGGAUACCCGCUGAACUUAAGCAUAUCAAUAAGCGGAGGA